AGAGUUUGAUCCUGGCUCAGAACGAACGCUGGCGGCGUGGAUAAGACAUGCAAGUCGAGCGAGAUUUUUUCCUGUAGCAAUACAGGGAAAAGUCUAGCGGCGAACGGGUGCUUAACACGUGGGCAACCUGCCGAGAAGUGGGGGAUAGCUCGCCGAAAGGCGAAUUAAUACCGCAUGUGAUUAGAGAGGACAUCCUUUCGAAAUUAAAGUCGGGGCAACCUGACGCUUUUUGUGGGGCCCGCGGCCUAUCAGCUAGUUGGUGAGGUAACGGCUCACCAAGGCUUUGACGGGUAGCUGGUCUGAGAGGACGACCAGCCACACUGGGACUGAGACACGGCCCAGACACCUACGGGUGGCAGCAGUCGAGAAUUUUUGACAAUGGGGGAAACCCUGAUCGAGCGACGCCGCGUGGAGGAUGAAGGUCUUCGGAUUGUAAACUUCUGUCAUUGGGGAACAAGGUGCAUACGUUAACUGCGUGUGCAUUGAUAGUACUCGAAGAGGAAGAGACGGCUAACUCUGUGCCAGCAGCCGCGGUAAUACAGAGGUCUCAAGCGUUGUUCGGAUUCAUUGGGCGUAAAGGGUGCGUAGGCGGCGCGGUAAGUCGGGUGUGAAAUCUCGGGGCUUAACUCCGAAACUGCAUUCGAUACUGCCGUGCUUGAGGACUGGAGAGGAGACUGGAAUUUACGGUGUAGCGGUGAAAUGCGUAGAUAUCGUAAGGAAGACCAGUGGCGAAGGCGGGUCUCUGGACAGUUCCUGACGCUGAGGCACGAAGGCCAGGGGAGCAAACGGGAUUAGAUACCCUAGUAGUCC
This 810-nucleotide ribosomal RNA is filed under the name uncultured bacterium. RNAcentral describes it as "bacterial SSU rRNA". It matches the Rfam family "Bacterial small subunit ribosomal RNA", at positions 8 to 796 of the family's 1533-position model. The record is from RNAcentral.